UCUUAUAUUUCCUUACAGUGAAUUCUAAUGUCAUUGCUCACUGGAUGUAACUACUCACUCUCCUGAGAGUCUUAGGUGGGUGUGAGCAGAGUUGCCAUGCAGUGGUAAUGUUUUCAUUUAUGUGGGGUGUCUGGAGGGCAGAGUUAGAUUCUUGCCCAUGCAGAGCCGCAGGGCUACACAGACACUGCUCUGUUUCUUAACCCAGCGAGGCUCUCCAAAGGGCCCAUGAAGAAAAUCUGUCUUCUCUGAUUAGUCUGUUGGUGCUACUCUGCUUGAAAUACUUUUUUCUUAACUCCAAGGACUCUGAAGUUUCCCAAUGUCUGGCAGAUUGAAGACCAAAAAUAAAGGUGAACUAGGAGAAGCUGGUUGGAGGGAAAAUCCAGAGAGAACCUUUGACUUGGUAUUGAAAGUGAAAUGUCAUGCCUCAGAAAAUGAAGGCACACCUUGGAGAUGCUGUGAGUCUGGUUCCAGACUACCACAGAAUCCGAUGGUUUUGUGGAAAUUUCCAGAGGACUUUGGAGAUCAGGAGGUACUACAGACUGUGCCCAAGUUCUGCUUCCCCUUCGACGUUGACAGAGUGUCUCAGAAUCAAGUUGGACAGCACUUUACCUUCGUCCUGACAGACAUUGAAAGUAAACAGAGAUUUGGAUUCUGCAGACUUACAUCAGGAGGCAGAAUCUGCUUAUGCAUCCUUAGUUACCUGCCUUGGUUUGAAGUAUAUUACAAGCUUCUAAAUACUCUGGCAGAUUACUUGGCUAAGGAACUGGAAAAUGAUUUGAAUGAAACUCUCAAAUCCCUGUAUAACCACCCAAUACCAGAGGCAAACACUUCUGUCCCCUUGAGUGUGCAUUCGUACUUCAUUGCCCCUGAUGUAACUGGCCUCCCAACAAUACCUGAGAGUAGAAAUCUCACGGAGUACUUCGUCGCGGUGGAUGUGAACAACAUGCUGCAGCUGUACGCCAGCAUGCUGCACGAGCGGCGCGUCCUGGUCACCUCCAGCAAGCUGAGCGCCUUAACUGCCUGUCUCCACGGAUCAGCUGCGCUGCUCUAUCCAAUGUAUUGGCAGCAUAUAUACAUCCCGGUGCUCCCCCCACACCUGCUGGACUACUGCUGUGCCCCAAUGCCAUACCUGAUUGGAAUACACUCCAGCCUUAUAGAGAGAGUGAAAAAUAAAUCAUUGGAGGAUGUGGUUAUGUUAAAUGUUGACACAAACACUUUAGAGUCACCAUUUAAUGACUUGAACAACCUACCAAGUGAUGUGGUCUCGGCCCUGAAAAACAAACUGAAGAAGCAGUCUACCGCUACUGGGGACGGAGUAGCUAGGGCCUUUCUUAGGGCGCAGGCUGCUUUGUUUGGGUCCUACAGAGAUGCCCUGAGAUACAAACCUGGCGAGCCUGUCACAUUCUGCGAGGAGAGUUUUGUAAAGCACCGCUCCAGUCUGAUGAGACAAUUCUUGGAGACUGCAGUUAACCUCCAGCUUUUUAAGCAGUUUAUUGAUGGUCGACUGGCAAAACUAAAUGCAGGAAGGGGCUUCUCUGAUGUGUUUGAGGAGGAGAUCACUUCAGGGGGCUAUUGUGGAGGGAGCCCGAGGUCCUAUCAGCAAUGGGUGCAUACAGUCAAGAGAGGGGGCGCGCUGCUCAACACGGCGGUGACGAGAGCCACACCUGCUGUGCGGACAGCAUAUAAAUUUGCAAAAAAUCACGCAAAGCAGGGAAUAAAGGAGGUGAAGAGUAAGCUGAAGCCCAAGGAAAAUGAGGAAGAUUAUGGGACCUGUUCUGGCUCUGUACAGUACACACCCCUUUACACGUUACAUGGUGACAAGGAAGGAAACCUAGAAAAGCAUAAGCUUGCCCAGGCACGCUUGAAAGGACCUCUGAAGAGCAUUGACGGUGCUCUGUGUGGUGAGGGUUGUGAGGACCCAGAGAGAGCAAGCAGAUUAUCUUCUGAAGAUGGCGAAGACGCUUCUACGUAUUUUUAUGAAAGUGAUGACUCUGUUGAAAUGAGAGUGAAGACUCCUUGCUCGGGAGAGAUGGACUUGCUGGGAGAAAUCCUGGACACCCUGAGCACACACAGCUCGGACCAGGGGCAGCUGGCAGCGGCCAAGAGCUUGGAUUUCUUUAGAUCCAUGGAUGAUAUUGAUUAUAGACCUACGAAUAAAUCCAAUGCUCCCAGUGAGAAUAAUCUGGCCCUGCUCUGCAGCGGUUCUGGGGACGCAACAGAGCAGCACCCCGGGCAGAACAGUGCCGCGCCCUGCGAGCGCCUCUCAGCGUCCCCCAGGGGGCACACCUCCCCCGGCAGGCUCACGGAGUCCCUGCUCAUCCUGAAAGAGGAGAACAGCGGAAGACACCUCCGUGUGGGCAGUGUGAGCGGGCCUCCUGGGGUGGGAAAGGCAGCCGGUCCUCCUGGGGUGGAUACCCAGCCGGCCCCACCGGAAGUUUCCUGGACUGAACGAGGAGAGGCAGAGCAGAAGGGAGCCCUGGGACAGACUUCAGGAGACCCGCCUGCACCCAGCCGCGGGCGACUCCCGCCUGCUUUUGUGCCUUGGGAGAGAGAGGGAGAAGAAGCCGCAGAGAUGGCCGAGGAUGGUGGCCUGCUUCACGAGGUAGCAUCGUUGUGCCACUUAACAUCUGCCUUCCAGCAGGGCCUGAACGUUUCAGAGGGACCCACGAGUGGGCACAACGUUUAAAUCAACAGUUGGUAGUCAGUCACUUGCAUCCAAGCUUCUGUGGAAACAUUGUAGGAUUCCACAUGACCUGCACAGUAAACGAUUAUUUGUAGGAAUGACAACUCUUACUACUGUCUAAAAAUCAUUUUUCAUUUGGGAAAUACAUUCCCUCUGCUUGUUUGCCUUGUGGGUGUGUAGCAUCCACUGGCAUUACAUGUAAAGCUGACUCGCCUCCUGUGCGCCUAAGCCGGGCACCAGUUUGUUUAUGUGUCGAAGUAUGUAUCGAACAUGUGACUCCCCAGUAUUGGUGCUUAAUGCCAUUCAUUUUAUUCAAACUACGCACGCACGUCUAACCCUUGCACAUUGCCGACGACUGCUGUGCUGACCUGGUUGAGCAUGAACUAAUCAAGAUACUAACACUCACCAGAACUAACCGGAAACUGCUGAAAUUGUUGACCCCCUAAUUGCCUUAAUCUUAAGCCUGUGUUAACCAUACUUAAAUAAUUUAUGGACUUACAAGUAUAUUUUGAAAGAUAAGUGGGAAGAGCUCUGCAGAGCAAUAAUGCCUUUUUCUAUUCAUUGAAUCAAGGGCAAAAUUCAUUUUUUCAGAGUCAAAGCUCUCUUGCGGACGCUGCAGCCAUGUUUUCCAAAAAGCAUUCGGGCACAACUGCCCUUUCAGUCAGUGGGAUGUGUGAGAUGCUGCAUCGCAGCAUGAAGUGAGUGACUGCUGUUACAAGUGACAUGGCCUCGGUUGCCUUCGCUGGCUGGGAAUGCGCCCUCAGAACGUCACCUGUCCUGAUGAAAAAGUUCCACUUUUGUUCCCAGCUAAUUUUUAUCAGAAUGCUUCAUCUCAUCUUAAUUUACCUUUUACAAUAAUUGACUUGAUGUUUUACAAGUUUUUAAUUAAUGGCAAAGUUGUGAAGACAGGGCAGGAUUCCUGCAUGUGAACACGGUUUCCUGCUCUCGGUACCGCAUGUCAGCCUGGCACGUUCUCCACAGGUCGGUGAGCUGGGACAUAUGCUCCAGGUCUACUCAGAGUUCCCUGGUUCUCCCCCCAGGGGCGUGUUCCGGCCCCAGAACCAGGAUGAUGCACUGCAUUUGGAUCUCGAGUCUUAGAUCCUCGGGGCAGCACCACUUUCUCAGACUUCCCUGGGUCUGGUGGCCUUGACAGUCGUGAAGAGUGCUGGUCGCAUGUGCUGCAAAGCAAACCUCCCCUGGAGUCUGUCUGGUACUUUCCUCACAGUCACACUGGGACGAUGGGUUUCGGGGAAGGAAGGCGGCAGAAGCAAAGUGCCAUUGUCACGACAUGGUACCGAGGGUCCGAGGCGCCACCACGCCUGGUGAGCAUGGGUGCUGAGUGUGGCCACCUGCCGAGGCAGCGGUCGAGUUCCUCCAGCUGAAGCCCCUCUCCGCCUCCCUCUCUGCGCUGUGGUCUGGGAGGAAGCCCCUGUGUGCAGCCCCACCCGAGGAGUCGGGGUUCACGCUUCCUCUCGUUGAGGGCAGAGAACCUACAUACAUAAUUUGGGAUUCUCCCAGUAGAAGAUUCAUCUCUUCUCCCUCAAAUAUUGAUUCAUGACAGACUAGAUCAACAGUAUAAUAAUGCUGCUACCUAAGGUAUCUACUUUUAAAGAACAGACUCGGAAUCUCUCAGAAAGUACGUGUCCUUGCUUGUCUGAUGCCCAGCCACCACUCUGUUCAGCCUUCCCCAGGGAGCACAGGGCUCUCGGUCCUGGAGCGGUGCCCCUUUUUUGCUCAGUUUGGGACUCACUGAGGGUGUGGGUGCGUGUUGCUGGGAAUCUAGUUUUUACUGCCUUUAUCCUGAAAGCAGCCUUCUCUGGAAACAGCCCCUUCUCCCUGCCUUGCUUGUGAAUCAAAACUGUACGUGUCAGUGUGGCUGGUGGGAUUCUGUGCUGAUCCCCUAACAGUAGGAUUCAAGAAUGCUCGCUAAUUAGUUAAAUGACAUGAAGAAUUAGACUCCUGAUCCAGAGGAGAAAACUGUGAAUAUUCUCACAAUCAGUAUUUCUUCUUUCUCUCCUAGAAAGUGUGGAUUUUCAGGAAAAGAUUAUUUUCAUGAAUAAAUUUUUUAUGAGAAUUCCAUUUGGUUUAGCAUAAGAGACUCUGCUUCUGGGUAGAUACUUGUAACUCAGAAGAUAAAUUUAAGAGUAUAAAAAUAAAUACCCAAAUCUAAUUCCCAAAGCACUUCUUGGUAUAGAAAAUAGUUUUUACAAACUCUGUCAGUGCUGACAUCUGUCCUGUUUCGAGCCCAGUGUUUAUUAGUGUCUGUUUCUUAGAGCUUAUUUAAGAGCCAGCAUUGUUUUGAGCAAACCAGUUAAUAUUUUAAUUUGGUCAAGAUAGGGAAUUAUGUAUCGUUAGAAAGAAGUGUAUUUUAUUUUCAAAAUAAUAGGAAUUUGUGCAAUAUUUUUUCCUUGCAUUAUUUAGUUUAUAUAAAUACACACAUCUGCUUUUCUAGCAGAUUCUUUAAGGUCAUGUUUUUCAGUGUUUGUGUAAAACUGUGUAGCAAUGUUCUGUGUGAUUUUAGAAAAAAAUAUUCUUUAUAUUGUUGGCAAGAGAAAUGUUUUUGUUUAUUUAAAAUGAUUAUGGAUACCGCAUUAUUGUAUCAAAACUGCCUCAGCAACAAUAAAUAUGCAAUAAGAAAAUUCUGAACCUUAGAUAAGUAUUGUUAAUAUCGUUACUUUAAAAAUGUAUAUAAUAGAGAAUGCUGAUCCUACAUGUACACAUUAACAAAUACUGAGCUCUGUACCACGCAGAUCUACAUGGCUUUUGUAUGUUCAUGGCCACAUGUGUGGAUGGUAGUAAUCCUUUGUGCUGAAUACUUGGUAAGAUUUACCAAGGGCAUCGCCAAUACUUUUUGACUGUAAAUUAAGUUAAUUUUUGUAUGAUGUACAGUUUGUUUAACCUUAGAGCUUCUAUAGAUUUCUACUUAUACUUGAAUGAGGCAGAAAGCACUGUGGAAAAUCUGUAGUUCUGGAUGCAAUAGCAAACAUACCAAAAAUAAAAAUGAAACAGGUACUGGAGAACAGUGAUAACUGGAUACUUUAUAUCCAGAAACCUAUGUUUUUUCAACCAUACUUAAGUGAAGUAGUUUGAAAUACAUACCCUUUUAUCUUAAAAGGUCGCAAAGUGACAGGUGGUCACCUCUGAUAUGAUGAACCUCCAAGGCUGUGUCUGUGUCUCAGUCCUCUGAUGGGAACCUUGUCAAGGUGCAUGGACUGAUCCACCCUCUGGUUCAUCGUGUGAUGUUUAGGGAGGGACAGAAUUAGAGUCUGAGCAACGCAUGUGCCAUCACCAUCCCUCAGAUAGUGUGACUUCCUGUGGUUAUUUUGAAAACCAUUUAAUAAUCAUAUACCAGAAAUGAGAGGUCUUGAAUCUGUUAUGAUUUAGUAUUUACAGCAAUGCCUAAAAUAACAAGUAUGAACUGCAUGGAAUCUAAUCUUAAAAUGCAUAAAAGCUGGUUUCAUAAAAGGUAUGUGAGAGGUUCAAAAUUGAAUUUUCCCAAAGCUUAUUUAUUUUGCUUUAAACUGUUCAGGAGUACUAAAAAUCUUAGCUUUUUGCUGGGCUUGGUGAUGGGUGUCUGCAGAGAGCUCUCCGGCACCCUGGCCUGCUUCAUCAUUCUCGUGUCCUCAAGGCUACAGUAUAAAUCGUCUCUAAGGUAGGCUACUUAUGGGGAGGACAGUGUAUAAAAAAAGUGUUGUUUGGGGAUUUUUUUUAAUAUGCAAAAAUAAAUAUGGGAUGAUCUACACAUCACCGUGAAGAGCCCAACACUGCAGUCACAGAAUAAAAUUGGUCAUAACCAGACUUCGCCUAGUGGUGACC
Molecule: RNA transcript, 6499 nt
Organism: Manis pentadactyla (Chinese pangolin)
Lineage: Eukaryota; Metazoa; Chordata; Mammalia; Pholidota; Manidae
Gene: DENND1B
Gene name: DENN domain containing 1B
Exons: 24
Source: RefSeq, a predicted model, not a curated record